GUCGAGCGAACGGACGAGAAGCUUGCUUCUCUGAUGUUAGCGGCGGACGGGUGAGUAACACGUGGAUAACCUACCUAUAAGACUGGGAUAACUUCGGGAAACCGGAGCUAAUACCGGAUAAUAUUUUGAACCGCAUGGUUCAAAAGUGAAAGACGGUCUUGCUGUCACUUAUAGAUGGAUCCGCGCUGCAUUAGCUAGUUGGUAAGGUAACGGCUUACCAAGGCAACGAUGCAUAGCCGACCUGAGAGGGUGAUCGGCCACACUGGAACUGAGACACGGUCCAGACUCCUACGGGAGGCAGCAGUAGGGAAUCUUCCGCAAUGGGCGAAAGCCUGACGGAGCAACGCCGCGUGAGUGAUGAAGGUCUUCGGAUCGUAAAACUCUGUUAUUAGGGAAGAACAUAUGUGUAAGUAACUGUGCACAUCUUGACGGUACCUAAUCAGAAAGCCACGGCUAACUACGUGCCAGCAGCCGCGGUAAUACGUAGGUGGCAAGCGUUAUCCCGGAAUUAUUCGGGCGUAAAGACGCGCGUAGGCGGUUUUUUAAGUCUGAUGUGAAAGCCCACGGCUCAACCGUGGAGGGUCAUUGGAAACUGGAAAACUUGAGUGCAGAAGAGGAAAGUGGAAUUCCAUGUGUAGCGGUGAAAUGCGCAGAGAUAUGGAGGAACACCAGUGGCGAAGG
RNAcentral lists this ribosomal RNA (681 nucleotides) under uncultured Staphylococcus sp. RNAcentral's name for it is "bacterial SSU rRNA". It matches the Rfam family "Bacterial small subunit ribosomal RNA", at positions 61 to 721 of the family's 1533-position model. Lineage: Bacteria; Bacillati; Bacillota; Bacilli; Caryophanales; Staphylococcaceae. The record is from RNAcentral.